UAUUUUCAUGAUUGAGAGUGCACGA
Molecule: non-coding RNA, 25 nt
Filed under: Rattus norvegicus (Norway rat)
Lineage: Eukaryota; Metazoa; Chordata; Mammalia; Rodentia; Muridae
Source: RNAcentral